Molecule: long non-coding RNA, 152 nt
Organism: Carcharodon carcharias (great white shark)
Lineage: Eukaryota; Metazoa; Chordata; Chondrichthyes; Lamniformes; Lamnidae
Exons: 3
Source: RefSeq, a predicted model, not a curated record
UCUGUCUUACCUUCACUAUCUACUUGUUCUGGCUUUCUAUCAAAUGGUCAGAGGAGAUCAAGAUUCACUUCAGUACACAAAGGCACUUUCUUUGCUUGGAAUCGAAUUACAAUGGCUGCAGGUUGAAAGACAUGUCCACUGGAACAGGAUGA